RNAcentral lists this ribosomal RNA (465 nucleotides) under Vreelandella stevensii. Its description in RNAcentral is "partial 16S ribosomal RNA". It matches the Rfam family "Bacterial small subunit ribosomal RNA", at positions 338 to 795 of the family's 1533-position model. The record is from RNAcentral. Lineage: Bacteria; Pseudomonadati; Pseudomonadota; Gammaproteobacteria; Oceanospirillales; Halomonadaceae.
CCUACGGGCGGCUGCAGUGGGGAAUAUUGGACAAUGGGGGGAACCCUGAUCCAGCCAUGCCGCGUGUGUGAAGAAGGCCCUCGGGUUGUAAAGCACUUUCAGUGAGGAAGAACGCCUGGUGGUUAAUACCCAUCAGGAAAGACAUCACUCACAGAAGAAGCACCGACUAACUCCGUGCCAGCAGCCGCGGUAAUACGGAGGGUGCGAGCGUUAAUCGGAAUUACUGGGCGUAAAGCGCGCGUAGGUGGCUUGAUAAGCCGGUUGUGAAAGCCCCGGGCUCAACCUGGGAACGGCAUCCGGAACUGUCAAGCUAGAGUGCAGGAGAGGAAGGUAGAAUUCCCGGUGUAGCGGUGAAAUGCGUAGAGAUCGGGAGGAAUACCAGUGGCGAAGGCGGCCUUCUGGACUGACACUGACACUGAGGUGCGAAAGCGUGGGUAGCAAACAGGAUUAGAUACCCUUGUAGUC